Molecule: long non-coding RNA, 366 nt
Organism: Mya arenaria
Lineage: Eukaryota; Metazoa; Mollusca; Bivalvia; Myida; Myidae
Exons: 3
Source: RefSeq, a predicted model, not a curated record
AUACCAUUUGAUGCCAAGUGUACAAUAAAAACUGAAAUGACAAUUGACAUCAGAAGUGUCAUGGUCUUGGUGGAAAAUGCUGUGUUCUUCGUUGACCUCUGGUUUAAUAAUAGCUGGUGAUAGAAAACUAUCAGGAAUGCUUCAAGCUGGCAAUGGAGGGAAAUGUAAAAGACACUGAGAAAUCACAAGGUUUCAAACAUCUAGAAUAUGCUCACAGUCAGUCUUCAAGAUACUCACCUUAAUGGUUCCAGUGUGUUUUAGGAGACUUUGUCAGAACAGUACUUUAUACCUACAUACACUGGAGAUACCAAGACCUAGCAGAUAACUACAUAUAUAUUGACACAGAACAUGAAAUUCAUUGCAUAU